GGGGAAUUUUGGACAAUGGGGGAAACCCUGAUCCAGCCAUGCCGCGUGCGGGAUGAAGGCCUUCGGGUUGUAAACCGCUUUUGUCAGAGACGAAAAGGGACGUACGAAUAAUACGUUCCGCUGACGGUAUCCGAAGAAUAAGCACCGGCUAACUACGUGCCAGCAGCCGCGGUAAUACGUAGGGUGCAAGCGUGAAUCGGAAUUACUGGGCGUAAAGGGUGCGCAGGCGGCUGUGCAAGACAGAUGUGAAAUCCCCGGGCUUAACCUGGGAACUGCAUUUGUGACUGCACGGCUAGAGUUUGUCAGAGGAAGGCGGAAUUCCCGGUGUAGCGGUGGAAUGCGCAGAUAUCGGGAAGAACACCGGUGGCGAAGGCGGCCUUCUGGGCCACAACUGACGCUGAGGAGCGAAAGCUGGGGGAGCGAACA
RNAcentral lists this ribosomal RNA (426 nucleotides) under uncultured Pseudomonadota bacterium. RNAcentral's name for it is "bacterial SSU rRNA". It matches the Rfam family "Bacterial small subunit ribosomal RNA", at positions 356 to 774 of the family's 1533-position model. Lineage: Bacteria; Pseudomonadati; Pseudomonadota. The record is from RNAcentral.